GAUGAAGAACGUAGCAAAAUGCGAUAAGUAAUGUGAAUUGCAGAAUUCAGUGAAUCAUCGAAUCUUUGAACGCACAUUGCGCCCGCCAGUAUUCUGGCGGGCAUGCCUGUUCGAGCGUCAUUUCAACCCUCAAGCACAGCUUGGUGUUGGGACUCGCGUUAAUUCGCGUUCCCCAAAUUGAUUGGCGGUCACGUCGAGCUUCCAUAGCGUAGUAGUAAAACCCUCGUUACUGGUAAUCGUCGCGGCCACGCCGUUAAACCCCAACUUCUGAAUGUUGACCUCGGAUCAGGUAGGAAUACCCGCUGAACUUAAGCAUAUCAACAAGCGGAGGA
RNAcentral lists this unclassified non-coding RNA (332 nucleotides) under soil metagenome. Its description in RNAcentral is "partial contains 5.8S ribosomal RNA, internal transcribed spacer 2, and large subunit ribosomal RNA". The stretch from base 1 to 120 matches the Rfam family "5.8S ribosomal RNA", at positions 35 to 154 of the family's 154-position model. The record is from RNAcentral.